CCUACGGGGGGCUGCAGUGGGGAAUAUUGGACAAUGGGGGGAACCCUGAUCCAGCCAUGCCGCGUGUGUGAAGAAGGCCCUCGGGUUGUAAAGCACUUUCAGUGAGGAAGAACGCCUGGUGGUUAAUACCCAUCAGGAAAGACAUCACUCACAGAAGAAGCACCGGCUAACUCCGUGCCAGCAGCCGCGGUAAUACGGAGGGUGCGAGCGUUAAUCGGAAUUACUGGGCGUAAAGCGCGCGUAGGUGGCUUGAUAAGCCGGUUGUGAAAGCCCCGGGCUCAACCUGGGAUCGGCAUCCGGAACUGUCAAGCUAGAGUGCAGGAGAGGAAGGUAGAAUUCCCGGUGUAGCGGUGAAAUGCGUAGAGAUCGGGAGGAAUACCAGUGGCGAAGGCGGCCUUCUGGACUGACACUGACACUGAGGUGCGAAAGCGUGGGUAGCAAACAGGAUUAGAUACCCCUGUAGUC
Molecule: ribosomal RNA, 465 nt
Filed under: Vreelandella stevensii
Lineage: Bacteria; Pseudomonadati; Pseudomonadota; Gammaproteobacteria; Oceanospirillales; Halomonadaceae
Description: partial 16S ribosomal RNA
Rfam family: Bacterial small subunit ribosomal RNA
Source: RNAcentral